RNAcentral lists this microRNA precursor (62 nucleotides) under Podarcis lilfordi (Lilford's wall lizard). Lineage: Eukaryota; Metazoa; Chordata; Lepidosauria; Squamata; Lacertidae. The record is from RNAcentral.
UGUGUGUGUGUGUGUACGUGUACAUAUGUUUAUGUGUGUACACACACACACACACACACACA